AUUUUAGCUUGAAAGAACCUUCAGAGACGAAAAACUUUGAUAUAUAUUUCUACCAAUCUUGGAACAAUUUUUACCCAAAUGUGUACAAAAGUUACGACAUGAUUAUCCCUACGAUAACGUCCGCAGCAUGUGGCCCGUUGAAUUCUAAGG
This is a long non-coding RNA of Physella acuta, 150 nucleotides long. RefSeq lists it as uncharacterized. The record is from RefSeq and is a predicted model, not a curated record. NCBI's taxonomy places the organism in Eukaryota, Metazoa, Mollusca, Gastropoda, Physidae.